This 319-nucleotide unclassified non-coding RNA is filed under the name uncultured Xylariales. Its description in RNAcentral is "sequence contains ITS1". The stretch from base 1 to 105 matches the Rfam family "5.8S ribosomal RNA", at positions 50 to 154 of the family's 154-position model. The record is from RNAcentral. Lineage: Eukaryota; Fungi; Ascomycota; Sordariomycetes; Xylariales.
GAAAUGCGAUAAGUAAUGUGAAUUGCAGAAUUCAGUGAAUCAUCGAAUCUUUGAACGCACAUUGCGCCCAUUAGUAUUCUAUUGGGCAUGCCUGUUCGAGCGUCAUUUCAACCCUUAAGCUCAGCUUAGUGUUGGGAAUCUACCGCGGGUGCUACCCUGUAGCUAACCCUGUAGUUCCUCAAAACCAACGGCGGAGUUAUAGUUACCUCUGAGCGCAGUAAUUUUUAUCACGCUUGGGAAGUGCUAUACUUCUUGCCGCUAAACCCCCCAAUUUUUAAUGGUUGACCUCGGAUCAGGUAGGAAUACCCGCUGAACUUAA